Pistacia vera is the source of this 694-nucleotide long non-coding RNA. RefSeq lists it as uncharacterized. The transcript has 2 exons. Lineage: Eukaryota; Viridiplantae; Streptophyta; Magnoliopsida; Sapindales; Anacardiaceae. The record is from RefSeq and is a predicted model, not a curated record.
AAUUGUUUAAUGUGAUAGAUGCUUCAAUGAAUUUGUGUAGAUUACAAAUUACAAAUAUGAGAUUCUAUCUUGGAUUAUUAGGCAUUCUACUAAUCAUUAAUACAUCCCCAAUCAUUUUCUCCAAGAUAUUCCCUUCAUAUAUUUUAACUCUUUCUUGUUUUUUCUUAACUUUUUUUUUCCUCACUUUCUUAUUAACCAAGCACUCUGCAAAUUAGGAAUUAACUAGAGAAAUCAAUAAAGAUUUCCAUGAAUCUUCAUGCCUCAAACCUAUGUUGAUUAAAUAUGUGUGCAUAUAUAUCCAUAACAGUUAGGAGUUAUUAUGGGUUCUACUUAAGGUCUAACGUUUAACUCUAUGGAUUGUAAAUUAACUCCAUCACCCAUCUCAGGAAACAUAAGUAAUUGAUUCUACUUAAGGUCUAACGUUUAACUCUCUACCUAGGGACCCGGUUGAGAUCCCUUGGGGCAAUUAUGGGGCUGAGUAUAUUGUUGAAUCUUCUGGGGUCUUCACAACAACUAACAAGGCCUCAGCUCACAUAAAGGAAAAAAUGAUACAUUCGUGCAAUAAUGCUUGAAGGAGCAGCUCAUCUUACUUGAAGGAGCAGAAGCAGAGUUAAGGCGCAUAGUCCAACAACAAGAAAAUAAGAUAAACAAUUGUAUGGACUAUAUAUAUAUAUAUGAAAAUAUGAUAUUUGAU